UUUUUUAAUUGAAAACUUGUAUGAAAGGUUGAACGAGAUAUAAGCUGUUUCGAUAGAAUUUUAUUAAAACUUUACUUUUUAGUUAAAAGGCUAAAAUUUUAUUAAAAGACGAGAAGACCCUAUAGAGUUUUAUAGAAAAAAAAAUUAAAAAAUUAUAGAAAAAUUAAAUUUAAAUUAUUUUUACUAUUUUGUUGGGGUGACCGUAAAAUUUAUUAUACUUUUAUUUUUUUUUAACAUAAAUUAAUGAUUUUAUUGAUCCAAUAUUAUUGAUUAAAAAAUUAAAUUACCUUAGGGAUAACAGCGUAAUCUUUUUUUAGAGUUCUUAUCAAUAAAAAUUUUUGC
Molecule: ribosomal RNA, 342 nt
Filed under: Diadocidia trispinosa
Lineage: Eukaryota; Metazoa; Arthropoda; Insecta; Diptera; Diadocidiidae
Description: partial 16S ribosomal RNA
Source: RNAcentral